UACCAGCAGGUUCAGUCAGUCGAUCCUAAAACACAAAACCCAUUUUGAAGUGAUGAAUACACCAAUGCAUUCUCAAAUAUUAAGAGAGUUCACUGGAGUGCAGUAAGUAAACACAUCAACAAUACACACCCGCUUUCUCAAAUGCCAAAAUGACACAUUGGUAUAGUGAUAGGAUUCAUUUGCAGCCUUGCAGCAUUAAUUCCCCUACCGACUGUAUAGGAGUUGCACCUGGGAGCUCAGUUUGAGAGCAUGUGUAAAUACAAUUAAAAAAGGUUGACAAUUUAAAUGUGGCACUGUGACAAUGAACAUUGGGUGUACUCUUCACAGUUACAUUUCCAGGUUUGGUAAAUGUGCAUGUUGUAUGAAAUCAUUUAAAAGUUAUCUGUUGUAAGGAACAGAUGAAUGCGAGAGAGCAAGAUCUCUCCAGCAGAUGGUGAUAUCGCAAUCAUUUGUAAAAAUGUCACAAUUUACUCUGUCUUUUUACUGAGUGACGGAACAGUACAGUGUAAUAU
This is a long non-coding RNA of Etheostoma spectabile (orangethroat darter), 512 nucleotides long. RefSeq lists it as uncharacterized. The transcript is spliced from 3 exons. Lineage: Eukaryota; Metazoa; Chordata; Actinopteri; Perciformes; Percidae. The record is from RefSeq and is a predicted model, not a curated record.